GAGAUUGUUUGUCAGUGACACAGAAUGUUGUGGAGGACUCGCAGCAGGGUUGUCACAGGUUCUGACCAACUCAGAUUCAAAGGACAACACUCCCAAAGAAUCAGGAGUGUCUGGAAUGUCAGGUGGUUGGAAGUCUCCCGGUGAAGGAGGAAGGGUUCUAACUGGAUUCUCUCUGAGCUGGCCCUUGAGGUUACCUUUAGGAGGUCUAGAGACAAAACAAUCAAUUAUAUUUGGACACGGAUGGCCCUGGCAUUUAUAUAGAGGCUCUAAAUGAAAUCCAUAUAGAAGAUACUGUCCAAUCAUGAACCCAACUUCAACCACAGAUCGAGUGAAAAUGUGUAUCACAUGAAGCCAGACUGCUCAUCAUUCCAGACAUCUUCAGCUGCUACACCCAGAACAAGCAUUCGAAAUAUGAACAGGAUGGUGAGCCAGAUCUUUCCAAUCAUGGUGGAGUGGAUGUGAACUUCCUCCAGAAUGCCCCCAAGGAAAUUCCAGUCCCCCAUGCUUAGUUAGCCUUCUUAGCUCUGAACCCCAUCAAAUAGGAGGCAGAUUAAUUCUUCCAUUCUGAAGGGUGUGCUAGUUCUUAAGCCAAACCUAUAGCCAAAAUAUGAACAAAGCAUCACUGUUUCAGCAUGCUGGUUGCUGUACUUUUUCCCUAGAAAGUUGUAAUAAUCUGUUAUCAAGGAUAUGUACAAGAUAUCAGUAAUUUUAAAUCAUUUAUGUUUAGACCUUAUAAUGCAAUGGGAGGAAAAAAAAAAGAUACCUGGGGGGUUGUAUAUAUUCUCUAUGAAGAGUAGAAUUGUAGGAGUCCCUGUAAAAAAGGUAUCUUCUUGCUUGGCUGAAGUUUGUUGUUGUUUUAUUUUUUUUAUCUGAGAACUUUUGGAGAGGUUCCUAAAAUUACCAACUUGAUCUUACAAACCUGUUUAUUAAGAUUAUUUCAUAUAAAAGCGAAACCCAAAGUCAAUGAUUUUUAAUUCUCAUUUAUGCACACAGGAAAAUUCAUGUGUUUCAUUUUGUAAUCCAGCAAGCUUAUAGCAUCAAAUGAAACUAAAGGAAAUAGAUCUGGCUCUUGCUAUAAGAAUUUAGAUUAGUUCUCCCAUCCAAGUUCUUUUAAUCCACAUCUGAAUGUCUAAAUUCUAGUUUCCUUCUGGCAGUUUUUGAGCAUUUUCAGAAAUCAUUUCAGUAAUAUAUCUGUGAAUAUUUAUAAAGUUAUUACUAUACUUUGGCAUAAAAAUUUUUGUGAAUUUUUAUUAUCUUAAACCCCAGAAAUUUUCAACUAUUAUAUGCUACCAGGAUGUUAUUAGAUAUUACUUGAAAUAAAUGGAUCAUUGGUAUAGUGGUAGCAUUAUAGACAUUUUCAUUGUAACAAUAUUUGACCUUGUUAGGAUAUGUAGCUUGCUUUGUGGAGGGAGCAGCAGGGAGAGUUAUAAUUUAGAUACUUGGAUUAUCAGCCAGUAGGUUUCAUAUUAGAGUUGAUAUCCUAUGAUAUCUAAGAGGAAAUAAAUCCCAAAGGAAAAAAGAGUGAAUAUUUUCAUUCACUUUCAUUUAAUAUAUAAAUGUAUGUCCUAUAUCCCUUAUAGAAAGGGAAAUAUUACACAGUCAGACAACAUACUGGGAUGUUAUAGCCACAAGAUAUGUUUAUCACAAAAAUCCUAUGAGUUAUGUAUGUUUCCCCAUUUUACAGAUGAGGAAACUGAGGCACACCUUAAGUUACCCAAGAUCACACAGCUAGAACUGGCAUUCAGACUCAGUCAAUAUGGCUCUGAAGUCAGCUCUUACCUGUUUUACUAAACUGUUAUUUUUUUCCUCUUCAAGCACACUCGAAACUUUCAUGAAAGAAAUAUUAGGACAUUACUUUUUCUCUUAAAAGUUUAAUUAUUUAAAUUAGGUAUGUCAAACAAUGAACAUUCUGACUUUUUAAGUCACAGGUUCUAGAGUCUUGAGUUCCUUUUUUAAAGAUUUAUAUAGUUCAAAAGACUUGCAAAAGCAUCAACCUAAAAUUUAGUCAUAUUCCUGAGACAGAGAAAAUUUAUAUUUGACUUUAUUAUGUUAAUGGUAGUAUACUCUUUGACCCAACAACCCAAAGUACUUUAAAGUGUAAGCAAAGCUAUUCUUUUUGUUGUUGAUUAUAACAAUCAUACCUUGAAAACAUCCAAAAUAAUUAUCGAGAAAGAUUGUAUUGUACAUAUAAAUAAUAGUAUGUCCACAGUGUGGUACUAUGAAUCCAGUAGAAAUAAUAAAUAUAUACUAAAAUAAAAAGACAUUUGAUAUACUAUUUCAGUAACAUUCAGCUUCUAAAACAGAAUAGUAUGGCCCUAUUACUGUAAAUUUAUAUAUUUGUAGAGAUACAUACAAAAAAGCCUAGAAGGGAUCUCCAUCAAAAUACUAUAAUUAUCUCUGGGUAGUGUGAUAACAAUUGACUUAAUAUUUUCUAAUUAUAUAUAUUUUAAUUUUUUUUUUUUACCAUCAGCACUCUACUUUUAUAAUCACAAAAAGAAAAGAUCUUUUUUUUUUUCUUUAAAGGACAAGAGCAUGGUAUUUCCUGAAAGAAGUAGUAGUAUUUAGAUUCAAAUUUUAGGUUCUAAAGAUUUCAUAGAAAAUGACAUGAGUACUGGUAAACAUAGAUACAGUACUAUAGAAUUCAAAAGUGAAAGAAAAAAAUUCAGAUUACUCUUAAUUAGCUAAGACAAAUUAACACAAACCUUUCUUUGUGGUUUAGGUAAAUCUGAAGCAGAUCAUGCUUAAAAGUUAUACCACAGCCAUCUUCACCUUAUUCUCUGAAUGUGUCCCUUUGCAGAUGCAGAGCAAAUUCGCUUUGGUUCAGUGUGGUGAGUCAGCCAUCAUCUAAAAUCCAUUUCCCUCUCUUAUUCUUGCUUCUAAACAGCUCUAUCCAAUAGAACUUUUUGCAGUGAUGCUGGCAUGGACUCUAUCUGCACCAUCCAAUAAGGUGGCUACUAGUAACACACAGUAUUGAGCACUUGCAAUGUGGCUUGUGUAACAGAAGAACUGAUUUUUUUUUAAUUUUAAUUAAUUAUUUUAUUUAAUUUUAAUUAAACUUAAAGAGCUACAUGGGCCUAGUGGCUACUUUAUUGGACAGCAUGGAUAAAGAAUAUUUCCAAAAUUUCUAGUAAUACAGCACAGUUUAGGAGACUAAAAUUGUGAGCCCCAAAUUAAGCUGAAUAAAUGGUUCCUCCAUAAUUCAGAGAUGUCAGAUUUAAAACAUCAGAUGUUUACAUGCCUUUUUAAUGGUAAUUUUGCCCCCUGGGGAACCCAGUAAGAUAUCACUGUUUUUGGUAAUGUAAAUAGUGUUUCUCACA
Molecule: long non-coding RNA, 3317 nt
Filed under: Sus scrofa (pig)
Lineage: Eukaryota; Metazoa; Chordata; Mammalia; Artiodactyla; Suidae
Description: lncRNA (ENSSSCG00055005635.1)
Source: RNAcentral